UACAAGACUACCUUGUGGAUUGCUUCUUAUUUUUAUUUUCUUCUCAUCGCGUGUGGUUAGUUUUCUAUGGUAAUCAAAUUAGCUUUCUUUAUUUUUGCGUUCAUUAUUAGCUUUGGUACAGGUUUUCUAUUUGGACUACAGUCAAGAGUGAAGUCCUAAUUUUGUUUCGAAUGGAGAAGCAUACAGGUUGACUAAGCCUCUGUAUUACAGCUGCAUCAAGGGCAUCAAGGGUAUUCGUCAAUCUGGAUAUCCAGCAAGUGCAUGAAUUUCAGGUGUUAUUCCAUUGAAGUUAAUAAAAUAGAUCUGGAGGAAGAACAAAAUCCAUGAAAACAUAGCGUCUUUGUUUGAAGUGACUAAGAAGCUACAUUACGGCACAUAAGAAACACCGGAUGCUACUGUGAAGCAAAGAUUGGUGAACUGCUAAAUUAUGAAGAUCGGUAUUACAUGGCCUGCAGAACUAGCAACAAGAAAGUAGAAUAUGUGGGCAAUCAUAGUUCUUGCAGCAAAUAUUGCAGAGAGUACCUGGGAAAUGUUUUGUGUGCACAAGUGUAUUUAUACAUCUUGAUGGUCGUGGUAUCUUUCGAGGUGAUUGGGGUCAUUGGUAUACAUGUAAGGUAAUUGAAGUGUUUGUAGAUGAGAUGUCACCAAUCUGUAGCUCAUCAGUCAAUGACUCAUUCAUGAUCUGACUAACUAAAAUUCUAAUGCAAGCUUAUACUAAAUUCAAGUCUUAAGUUAAAACGUUUUAAAUUUAAAUAGAGGUUAAGACUGUUGUUUAUGUGUAAGGUAAUGAAUUUCUAUAAAAUGUAAAGACUAAACUUAAA
Molecule: long non-coding RNA, 821 nt
Organism: Papaver somniferum (opium poppy)
Lineage: Eukaryota; Viridiplantae; Streptophyta; Magnoliopsida; Ranunculales; Papaveraceae
Exons: 5
Source: RefSeq, a predicted model, not a curated record